Molecule: ribosomal RNA, 251 nt
Filed under: uncultured prokaryote
Description: partial 16S rRNA
Rfam family: Bacterial small subunit ribosomal RNA
Source: RNAcentral
ACGUAGGGUGCAAGCGUUAAUCGGAAUUACUGGGCGUAAAGCGUGCGCAGGCGGUUCGGAAAGACGGAUGUGAAAUCCCAGGGCUCAACCUUGGAACUGCACUCGUAACUGCUGAGCUAGAGUAUGGGAGAGGCAAGUAGAAUUCCCAGUGUAGCAGUGAAAUGCGUAGAUAUUGGGAGGAACACCAGUGGCGAAGGCAGCUUGCUGGACUGCAACUGACGUUGAGAUGCGAAAGCUAGGAGAGCAAACGG